AGAAUCAACGCUGGCGGCGUGCCUAACACAUGCAAGUCGCACGAGAAAGGGACUUCGGUCCUGAGUAAAGUGGCGCACGGGUGAGUAACACGUGACUAAUCUACCCUCGAGUGGGGAAUAACCUAGGGAAACCUGGGCUAAUACCGCAUAACACUUACGAGUCAAAGCAGCAAUGCGCUUGGGGAGGAGGUCGCGGCAGAUUAGCUAGUUGGUAGGGUAAUGGCCUACCAAGGCGAUGAUCUGUAUCCGGCCUGAGAGGGCGCACGGACACACUGGAACUGAAACACGGUCCAGACUCCUACGGGAGGCAGCAGUGGGAAUUUUGCGCAAUGGGGGAAACCCUGACGCAGCAACGCCGCGUGGAGGAUGAAGUCUCUUGGGACGUAAACUCCUUUCGACAGGGACGAUAAUGACGGUACCUGUAGAAGAAGCCCCGGCUAACUUCGCGCCAGCAGCCGC
This 459-nucleotide ribosomal RNA is filed under the name uncultured bacterium. Its description in RNAcentral is "SSU rRNA". It matches the Rfam family "Bacterial small subunit ribosomal RNA", at positions 26 to 518 of the family's 1533-position model. The record is from RNAcentral.